This 236-nucleotide long non-coding RNA is filed under the name Manihot esculenta (cassava). Its description in RNAcentral is "long non-coding RNA (MESC_LNC002345)". The record is from RNAcentral. Lineage: Eukaryota; Viridiplantae; Streptophyta; Magnoliopsida; Malpighiales; Euphorbiaceae.
UUACAUGAGAACACUUGGGAUAAAACCCAAGGAAAUUGUAUGAUCUAGCGUUAUCUCUAUACGUUUGGGUAGCUAGGAUUGGAUCUCUCUAUUUCUUAAUGCAAUUGACAAUUGUUUUGAUGCCUAAGGCCCAAGGACAUUCCUUGGCAAUUUGUUAAUUAGUAAUUAAUUAGAGGACGUUCCCUAAUUGGUUUAAUCAUAAGGAGAGAUAAUGGUGGUGAGAAGCGUCUUCCAUC